UGGGGAUGUUCUGCUUAGCCCCAGCCCUGGGGACAGGGGACCCGCUGGGGACGUACGCGACAGAGCACUGGGCAAAGGCGAGGUACUCCAGCAGCACGUCCAGCCCCUUGUUCUCCUCGUUGAGGAACUCCUGGACCCAGCUGGAGGGUGCAGAGGGUUAGUGGGCUCUGCCAACCCCCACAUCCUCUCUCCCCCUGUGCCCACACACUCAGCAGAGCCACCCACCCCCUGCUCAGAGUUCCCCAGCAAGGGUGGAACAUGCUGGGGACAUGAGGUGGCACCAUGGGCUGGCAUUCCUCUGAGGCCAGGUGAGUGCCACGGUGAACCUGAUUUAUGGGGGACACAGCCCAGGGGCUCUCCUGUCACCACUGCCACCACUGCCACUGUUGCCACCUCUACCAGGACAGGACAGCCUGGCCCUGGGGUCUGUAGGCACCCACCACCCCACAAGGCGUCAGGACAGCACCAGAGAGACAUAAUGGGGUUCAGACCCCCCAGCACCCCCAGCUGCCUCAGCACCCCCAGCCUCCCAUCAGAGCCCUCCUGAGGGGGCAGGAUGAGCCUCCACAUCCUGCUGUCACCCUCCAGCCAGAGCCAGCAGCACGUCCAUCCCCUCCCAGAGGCAGUGGCAGUGGCUGGGUGACAAUGCCACCCCCGCCCUUACCCGAUGUAGUUGGUCCUCAGGGAGAUCUCCAGCUCCCGGAGCACCUGCGUCGACUCCUGCACUCGUCUCUUGAACUGUGGGAUGGGGACAGCCAUUGGCACCGUCCCUGUGCCCAGCCUGGGGUGGGGACCAGGGGACCGGGGUGCAACAGGGACCCCUCACCUUCCUGCUGACACCCCCUGUGUCCAAGUAGCUCCUCAGCUUCUGGAUGUAGGCGGACGGAGGGUUCUUCACCUGGAAACGCUCCUAGGAGCGCCAGAGAGAGGCUGAAACUGGGCCAGCUGCUGUGGCACGGGGACAUGCCACUGUCCCCACAGCAGCCACAGUGUCCCUGUCCCCACCCCAACUGCAUCAGUGCUUAAUGAGGUUAAUGAGGUGCUGUGUCAGUAACGAGAUGGAUGUCAGCGCUUGCUACAGACAGACUGAUGCCCAAACCAUGCCACAAGUGGCACCUGGGGACAGGGACAGCACUGGGGACACUGCGAGCCUGGACCUCACCUGGUCACAGAUCAGCUCCCACUUCUUCUCGUUGUCGUACUGGUUAAGCAGCUUCAUCUUGUCCGGGGGCAGGUUCAUGGAAUUCUGUGGGGGAAGGGUGUCAGCACUGGGGGUCACCCCAAAAACACCCCUGGGAUGCAGCACCCCCUGCUCAGCCAGCAUGGGGGUCCUCGCUCAGCAGGGGCAGACGGGGACCAGUGGGAGGAUGGGGAUGUUGGUGGGACACAAAGAUUCCAGUGAGAAGAUGGGGACACUAGUGGGACAAUGGGGAUGGAACAAUGGGGACAGGGGUGGGAGGAUGGGAUCAUGGUGGAAAAGUGAAAGCAGCAUUCUCAGGAUGGGGACACUGGUGGGAUGAUGGGGACAACCUUGGGAGGUUGGGAACACCACUGUUCCCAGGAUGGCAGCAUCCCAUGGACCCAUCAGUGAUGGCCCCACCUGAGGGGAGGGGUGGGCAGCGAGUGUUGGUGGGGGACAGGAGGAAGAACUGGACACAUCCCCCCAUGUCAUGGGUGCACCUUGUGCCCAACCUCAGCCAGCACAGUCCUGGCAAGGUCACAUGGGGUGAGGGAUGGGGACACCACUGGUGACACAACUGAGGGACCCAGGAGCUGAGCUGUGCUUGAGGGGUCACCCCUGAGUCCCCCCAUCCACAGGUGCGUGACAAGCCCGUCUGGGGAAACCAGUGUUGGUUGAGAGACAAUGAUGUCAGGGCCUGGCACGUCCCUCCUGGCCACCAUGGCACAGCCCCAGCCCCCACAGGACGUGACGUGGGUUCCGCUCUCGGCACCGGCGCUGCCGAAACCGCCCCCGCCAAGAGGGAGACACAGCUCCUGUCCCUGGGCUGCUCUGCUGGGGGACACCACGGGGUGACCUUCAUGGGACACCCACCCUGGCCUGGGCCAGGUGCAGCUCAGCUUGGCUCACAGGUGAUUUUUUUGCUGAAAGAGCCAAUUUUUUGUUGAUGGAGAGCACCUGCAGGCUGGCACGAUGGCGUGUGGAGCAAUGCACAGCCCCAGGCCACCCCUAAAUCUCAGUCUUGGGGUUCCCUGAGGAGGAGGAUGGGAACGUGGGGUGCAUGCCAUGCUGGAACAACCACAUCCUUGCAGGAAGGCAUCUCCCAGGGCUUUGGUUGCCCACAGAAGAGCAGGCCCAAGGUGAGAGGUCCCACUGAGGUGGGCAGGAACAGAAACCUCUCCACCUCCUCCAGGGAGGACCUGUCAAGCUGCUUUCACAAGAAGCCAAAACCAGGAGCAGUGGGUGGGGAGGAGCUGGGUUGGGCUGGCACCAAGAGCUGGGCAGGGGGACAGCCAGGCUGCAGGGUCAGAAAUGGCCUCGCUGUGAAGCCACUAGAGCUGCUGGCUGGGCUCUGGGAUGGGCAAGGUGACAGCAGCACCUGGCUGUCACCACUGCUGCUCCCGAGCUGCCAUCCUUGGGGUGGAUGAGGAUCAGACCAAGGGACAGCGCUGUGCCAAGAGGGACCACGCACCCAGACACCCACCCAGGGCUCAGGCACACCCGUGGCACUCUGUGGGACACCAUUGGGUGCCCUGGGCAGGGAGGACAUGGUGGCACCUGCCACAUGGACCAGCUUGAAGCCAUCACACGUGGACCAAGCAGGACCCAGCACGAGGGUGGGGCAGGGUGUCCCCGCGGAGGUGGCUCUGCCCCAGCCCCACAGCCCCUCCCUUGCGGGCAGGAUGUGGCACAGGUCGGGUACAAAGUGGGUGGUGGCUGUGUCCCAUCCCGGGUGGGCUGGUGGUGCCGGGGAGGAAGCGGCUCCGCUGAGGCAGCGCAGAGAAACCGGUUCUGGUUUCCUGCCGGGGAGGGGGAGGUGUGGGGCACAGUGGGUGAUGUGGGGCUGGGCGGAUAAUGUGGCAGCAGCCAAGCACCCACAGGAGCCAGGGGAAGGACUUGGUCCUCCCCUCCUUUUCGUCCUUUGGGGACAAGGAUGGAGGAGCCACAGCCACUUGCCCCCAGCUCCCUCAUCCCGCCCUGCCCGGGGCUCCCCAGCACCUCACAGCCCACCACAUCGCUGAGAGGGUGCCACCAAAUGUCCCCCACCAAACCUGCUGUGCCACAAAGUGCCACAGAGCCGGCAGGGCCAUCCCAGCCAUGCCUGGCACCUCAGCUGUGGGCUGAGCCAGGCGAGGUGAAGCAGCACCAACAUCAUUUUCUGGUACAAAACAACCUUUUGCUGUCAUGGCUGGCAGGGACGGAGCUAUUUUGGGUGUCAGACACCUCUUUGUGCUCCACACGUGAGCGGGCAGCGCCGAGAGGAGCCGGGCUGAGCCGAGCUCUGCACCAAAGCUGGCACAGAACAUUCCAGCAUCCCCCGGGAGGUGUUUGUGCCACAAAGCCCGGCAGGAUGAGCGUGAACCGGGCUGAACCCUGGCAGUGCUGUUUCUGGGGCACGGGGGAUGUGCAGGCACUGAGAGGGGAUGGAAAGCCGUGGCAGCACGUGGGCACAAAAUCCUGCCCAGCACCGGGCACAAAAUCCUGCCCCAGGGAAGGGUACAGGGCAGGGAACCGCCCCAGAUGGGGCUCAGGGGCUCUCCCCAGCUGCAGGAAGGGCCAACACUGCCAGGUGACCAACAGUGCCACUCCUGGGGUGCUCCAUCCCUCAUGGCCACAGAGCACCCCAGAGGUGGUUUGGGACAUGCCCAGUCCUGAAGUGCCAGCUGUCCCACGGUGUCCCCUCCAGUGCCCCCGACUCCCACUGGACUCGUUCUCCUGCCUCUUCCCAGGGCUCAGUGUGAGGCACAGAGCAGCACCAGGCCCACCCAGGGCUCCCUGACCUCCCUCGUGCAGCAAACUGGGCUGGGGGCACUGCCAGGACCAGUUCAGCCCAUCGGGGAUCCAGCCAGACCCAAACCCCGCCAGUGUCAGGACACAGGUCCCCCUUGGGGACACCCUGGCGCAGCCCCACAUCCCCCAGCCAGCCUUGGCCACCGUGCUGGAGAUGGAUGCAGCAGGAAGAUGAGGACCAGCUCUGUUUCCUGGUUGAGAAGAGGCUGCAAAGCCCCCACCAGGCAAAGCUCCCGGCUGGAGCCGCCCCCGUCCCAGCCAGCCACUGUUUGAUUUUGACUCCACCACCCCUCAGCUCACAAUUCCAUUUAUAUGGUCCCAAUUAAUGCUCCUUGACAUGCAAAGGGGGGAGAAUCCUGAUUGCUUCAAGCAGGGUAUGUGAGCAUCCCUAUCCCAGCAGCAAAGAUGCUCUUCCUCUGCUCCAUCCCAAAAUCCACCUUGUCAUAUCCCAAACUACUUGGCACGGGACAACCUUCCAUUGCUCUGCCAAAGCAGCAUCUGCCACAGUGCCCCAGCUGGGAAGAAGCCAAUUUUUGAGAAGGAAGUUUUGGGAAACUAAAUUCCCAUUUCUUGGCACCAAAUGGGUGUAUCCCCUUCCUGGCAGCAAUUGGAUCCCCAUGGCUCUUCCCUGGGCUUUUCUGCCAAGGCUUUGCACCGGCAGCUCUCCCAAUUUGGGAUGUCCAGCCCAAAACUGAUUUGCACUGAGCUCUCAUGGCAUCACUGCAACCACGGCAACGUGUGAGGUCUGGAUCCUGUCCCACCAGGAGAUUCCCAGCUCAUCACCACCUGCUCCAUCACUGAGCUCAGGAGGUAGAAAAGUUGAAGCCAGAGCCAGGGAAUGUGUUUGUGGUGGGUGAGGGCAGAGGGACCCCCUGUCCCCAUCCCCCCGGGAUUCUGCUGCCCCCACAGCCACAAGAAUGGGGAAGGGACUGUGAAAGGAGGAAGCAGAAUUGGGACAGCCGCUUUCACAAGACACCCGCUUCCCGUCGGGACAUGUCCAGCCCCCUGGGUGCCCCUUCUCCUGGAAAAGGGCUUUCCCUCGGGAUGAAGGCAGACAAGGUGGUGCUGAGUGCCUGGAGCAGCGCUUUCCCCUUUUCUGAUCAUUUUUUGGUUUAGGAUUUCCAACCUGCUGGGCCCAGCCCGGCUGAAAGUGCAGCUUCCUGGGGCCUCACAGCGGAAACACCCCGAGUCUGUUCCUGCCCCGCUGCUGUGACACCCGGAGCCACCAGAGCAUCGCCACCCCACCCGCCACCCGCGUGUCCCGCGGCAGUCCCGGGGGUCCCGCCAAGCAGCGCCCCUCAGAGAAUCCCAUCAACUCCACCAGAGAAAAAACUCCCGAGGAAUUCGUGCUCGGGGCCGAGCAGAUCCCGGCGGGUCCAACCGAGCGGAUCCCGGGGUGCCGGUAUCGCGGCAUGGGAUCGGUGAAACGGCUCCAUCUCCGCCAGGGGCUCGGGGAUUAAAGCAGCGAUUAUUUCUGGGCAGGGCAUGGGUAGGGGCUGGAGCGGGUGGCGGGACCCGGCGCUCCCCGGAGAAGGUCACGGCCGGCCCGCCCCGCUCAAGGACGGAGCUCGGAGGGCACCGGGAGCUGCAUCCAUCCACCGGCGGGAGGCCGGCAGCGCUGCCGGGGAGGAGGAAGAGGAGGAAGAGGAGGAAGAGGAGGAAGAGGAGGUGAGUGAAGCAUCGCCAUCCGCAGCCCCGGCUGCUUGCGGCGCGCUCCGGCCCUGCCGCCGAUCCCGCCAUGGCGGAGCCGCCCGGGCUCCGGGACUCGGGGUCACCCCGGGAAUUUGGGGGAUGGAUCCCCCGCAAGGUGAGAGGGGAGCGGCUGGGGGUCAUCCCGGGGCAGGCUGAGCGUGAGGUGAGAGCGGGGCAGUCACCAUUAGUAAUAAGAACAUCAAUUAAAUAAUAAAUCAUCAACAGAA
Long non-coding RNA from Taeniopygia guttata (zebra finch), 5889 nucleotides. RefSeq lists it as uncharacterized. Lineage: Eukaryota; Metazoa; Chordata; Aves; Passeriformes; Estrildidae. The record is from RefSeq and is a predicted model, not a curated record.